GACCAUGCAAUGAUCACAAGAUCAAGAGAUUAGAGAUUAAUCGAGUAAAAGACAAACAACGUAUAAAUAUUGGCUAGGAUGAUUCGUGGCGCUACACAGGCAAAUUUGGUGGAGUCAGAUAAACAUUAUAAAGGAUUCAACUAAAGGAAGAUUCGAUAUAUCUGCAGGAGAAAAGGAUGUGGAACCGUCACAUGGGUUCAUUUGGGUCCAUGACUCCACGUGCACCAGACGUGGAUGGAUGGAUCGACGAGCGAUGAUCAAAGUUGGUUUGAGGUUGUACGGCUUGCCCGCCUUU
Molecule: long non-coding RNA, 295 nt
Filed under: Helianthus annuus (common sunflower)
Lineage: Eukaryota; Viridiplantae; Streptophyta; Magnoliopsida; Asterales; Asteraceae
Description: sRNA HanXRQr2_Chr14g0670381
Source: RNAcentral